AAGCUACCGUGCGCUGGAUUAUGACUGAACGCCUCUAAGUCAGAAUCUGGGCUAGAAGCGACGCACGCGCCCGUCGCCCGAUUGCCGACCCGUAGUAGGGGCCUUUGGCCCCCAAGGGCACGUGUCGUAGGUGCAGUGACCGCGGCGGACAAGUCACGGACGCCUCCUUGGAGCUUAAUUCCCACCGAGCGACGGGUAGAAUCCUUUGCAGACGACUUAAAUACGCGACGGGGUAUUGAAAGUGGCAGAGUGGCCUUGCUGCCACGAUCCACUGAGAUUUAGCCCUUUGUCGCUUCGAUUCGU
Molecule: non-coding RNA, 303 nt
Filed under: Gossypium arboreum
Lineage: Eukaryota; Viridiplantae; Streptophyta; Magnoliopsida; Malvales; Malvaceae
Description: Eukaryotic large subunit ribosomal RNA
Rfam family: Eukaryotic large subunit ribosomal RNA
Source: Rfam by way of RNAcentral